This 76-nucleotide transfer RNA is filed under the name Phyllagathis erecta. Its description in RNAcentral is "tRNA-Gln". It matches the Rfam family "tRNA". From Rfam's summary of the family: Transfer RNA (tRNA) molecules are approximately 80 nucleotides in length. Their secondary structure includes four short double-helical elements and three loops (D, anti-codon, and T loops). The record is from RNAcentral. Lineage: Eukaryota; Viridiplantae; Streptophyta; Magnoliopsida; Myrtales; Melastomataceae.
UGAAUGGGGCGUGGCCAAGUGGUAAGGCAACGGGUUUUGGUCCCGCUAUUCGGAGGUUCGAAUCCUUCCGUCCCAG